Hippocampus comes (tiger tail seahorse) is the source of this 629-nucleotide long non-coding RNA. RefSeq lists it as uncharacterized. The transcript is spliced from 2 exons. The record is from RefSeq and is a predicted model, not a curated record. Lineage: Eukaryota; Metazoa; Chordata; Actinopteri; Syngnathiformes; Syngnathidae.
GAUGCUUGAUGACAUUUAGUGGGAAGCACCCAUCCUGUUAUUGUCCUAAUGUUGCGUUUUACAGUCAGACAGAGAGCUAGAGAGAAACUCCUACGCGUCGCCUUUGGAGGAAGCAAAUCCCUCUAUUUUAUCAUUUCCAAAUGCAUCAUUUUCCCGAGAGUGGGGGAAGCUUUCUAUUUCGACGUUCUUCCUUCCUCAUCAGUCUGAGGCCAUCUGAGCUCAUCACUGCCCUCCACACUUGAGCCCCAAGCUUCCAUUGAAUUCCGCUGCAAUGCCCACUCGUAUUCCCUCACAUUUUUUCCCUGAACCGCCCGGUUGACUGCACGACACACCGUCAAUCCGAAUGAAAAUAAACAGCAGCUGGAAGUGGUUCUCUUCCUCCCUGCCUUGGCCAAAGAUUGCAGGCCUUCACUGGACCUGGCUGGUACCGCGCUGAGGCGGGAAGCCGAGCGGCUGUGAGGAACCUCCGGUCCAACCCGAAACCAGACAGUUCACAGACGCCGCUGCCAGAGUUGGAUCAGUCACAUGACGUCAGUCGGUGACAAACCACUUGACCCGUGUUAUGAGUUUUAAAGUAAAUCCCUGCCGGUUACCAUGGAAGAAUGGAGCACCUUCAUGGAAAAAAAAAA